GAUGAACGCUGGCGGCGUGCCUAAUACAUGCAAGUCGAGCGAACGGACGAGAAGCUUGCUUCUCUGAUGUUAGCGGCGGACGGGUGAGUAACACGUGGAUAACCUACCUAUAAGACUGGGAUAACUUCGGGAAACCGGAGCUAAUACCGGAUAAUAUUUUGAACCGCAUGGUUCAAAAGUGAAAGACGGUCUUGCUGUCACUUAUAGAUGGAUCCGCGCUGCAUUAGCUAGUUGGUAAGGUAACGGCUUACCAAGGCAACGAUGCAUAGCCGACCUGAGAGGGUGAUCGGCCACACUGGAACUGAGACACGGUCCAGACUCCUACGGGAGGCAGCAGUAGGGAAUCUUCCGCAAUGGGCGAAAGCCUGACGGAGCAACGCCGCGUGAGUGAUGAAGGUCUUCGGAUCGUAAAACUCUGUUAUUAGGGAAGAACAUAUGUGUAAGUAACUGUGCACAUCUUGACGGUACCUAAUCAGAAAGCCACGGCUAACUACGUGCCAGCAGCCGCGGUAAUACGUAGGUGGCAAGCGUUAUCCGGAAUUAUUGGGCGCAAAGCGCGCGUAGGCGGUUUUUUAAGUCUGAUGUGAAAGCCCACGGCUCAACCGUGGAGGGUCAUUGGAAACUGGAAAACUUGAGUGCAGAAGAGGAAAGUGGAAUUCCAUGUGUAGCGGUGAAAUGCGCAGAGAUAUGGAGGAACACCAGUGGCGAAGGCGACUUUCUGGUCUGUAACUGACGCUGAUGUGCGAAAGCGUGGGGAUCAAACAGGAUUAGAUACCCUGGUAGUCCACGCCGUAAACGAUGAGUGCUAAGUGUUAGGGGGUUUCCGCCCCUUAGUGCUGCAGCUAACGCAUUAAGCACUCCGCCUGGGGAGUACGACCGCAAGGUUGAAACUCAAAGGAAUUGACGGGGACCCGCACAAGCGGUGGAGCAUGUGGUUUAAUUCGAAGCAACGCGAAGAACCUUACCAAAUCUUGACAUCCUUUGACAACUCUAGAGAUAGAGCCUUCCCCUUCGGGGGACAAAGUGACAGGUGGUGCAUGGUUGUCGUCAGCUCGUGUCGUGAGAUGUUGGGUUAAGUCCCGCAACGAGCGCAACCCUUAAGCUUAGUUGCCAUCAUUAAGUUGGGCACUCUAAGUUGACUGCCGGUGACAAACCGGAGGAAGGUGGGGAUGACGUCAAAUCAUCAUGCCCCUUAUGAUUUGGGCUACACACGUGCUACAAUGGACAAUACAAAGGGCAGCGAAACCGCGAGGUCAAGCAAAUCCCAUAAAGUUGUUCUCAGUUCGGAUUGUAGUCUGCAACUCGACUACAUGAAGCUGGAAUCGCUAGUAAUCGUAGAUCAGCAUGCUACGGUGAAUACGUUCCCGGGUCU
RNAcentral lists this ribosomal RNA (1372 nucleotides) under uncultured bacterium. Its description in RNAcentral is "bacterial SSU rRNA". It matches the Rfam family "Bacterial small subunit ribosomal RNA", at positions 28 to 1381 of the family's 1533-position model. The record is from RNAcentral.